UUCCCAAAAUGUGCCUCCAGUGACAUUACCUCAGUGGGAUACAAUGAACACACAGGCAUGGAGUCUCCAAAUUAAACAAGAUUAAGCUUAUUUCCUCACCGUAGGACUUUACAGAGCCUUUAAUAUUUCACUAUGGAUGUGAGUCUAUAAAAGGUGAUAAAAGGUCCCUGGACAAGUAAUAUCUACAUAGAAGAAUGAGUGAGAAAAAAUGCCAUAUUAUUAAUAGCUGCUCAAGUGUCCAGUACCUCACUGCAGAGCUCUCCUGCAAAUGGUGACAGUGAAACAUAGAACUUCUAACUUACGAGGGCUGUUGGGGGAUGAGAGCUGCUGCUGAUCAACGGACAAGGAAACGA
Molecule: long non-coding RNA, 353 nt
Organism: Hyaena hyaena (striped hyena)
Lineage: Eukaryota; Metazoa; Chordata; Mammalia; Carnivora; Hyaenidae
Exons: 3
Source: RefSeq, a predicted model, not a curated record